Long non-coding RNA from Nerophis lumbriciformis (worm pipefish), 405 nucleotides. RefSeq lists it as uncharacterized. Lineage: Eukaryota; Metazoa; Chordata; Actinopteri; Syngnathiformes; Syngnathidae. The record is from RefSeq and is a predicted model, not a curated record.
AAAUACUUUUGGCAAUAUAGUGUACAUCACAGUUUAGAAACAAAACCCAAGGACCACCUUAGGGAAUCGUUUAAUUCAGUUUUGCGUCUUGUAUGGUUCACAAAUAGUGUCACAGUUAAGCUGGAGCCUAUCCCAGCUGACUUCAGGUGAGAGACAAGUGUCUCGGGACGUCUUCAGCCAAAUGCUGGUCCUUACAGAGUCCAGAAGUGCAGGUUGAAGUGUUGUGGCUCCACCACAUGAAUGGGUGGCCCCGAAGAUCUGAUCCCAAGCAUGGGCGGGUUUGGCGUAGACAGGAUGUAGUCAAUGCUGAACUUGAUCUCGGAUCCCGGUUUCCCCUGGACGGGGUUCGGGACCAGCGGCGGACACGGUCGAGAUCGCUGCGGGGUCAAGGGGCAGAGGUCGGAG